Molecule: ribosomal RNA, 502 nt
Filed under: uncultured bacterium
Lineage: Bacteria
Description: partial 16S ribosomal RNA
Rfam family: Bacterial small subunit ribosomal RNA
Source: RNAcentral
AUUGAACGCUGGCGGAAUGCUUUACACAUGCAAGUCGAACGGCAGCACGGGUGCUUGCACCUGGUGGCGAGUGGCGAACGGGUGAGUAAUACAUCGGAACGUACCCUGACGUGGGGGAUAACGUAGCGAAAGUUACGCUAAUACCGCAUACGUCCUGAGGGGGAAAGCAGGGGAUCGCAAGACCUUGCGCGUUAGGAGCGGCCGAUGGCAGAUUAGCUAGUUGGUGGGGUAAAGGCCUACCAAGGCGACGAUCUGUAGCGGGUCUGAGAGGACGACCCGCCACACUGGAACUGAGACACGGUCCAGACUCCUACGGGAGGCAGCAGUGGGGAAUUUUGGACAAUGGGCGAAAGCCUGAUUCAGCCAUUCCGCGUGAGUGAAGAACGCCUUCGGGUUGUAAAGCUCUUUCGGCAGGGAAGAAACGGUUUUGGAUAAUACCCAGAGCUAAUGACGGUACCUGAAGAAGAAGCACCGGCUAACUACGUGCCAGCCGCCGCCGUAA